UUAACAGGGUCAUGAAAGGGACGCUAACAACGAGCCCUAGUGAAAGUAAUUUUGCGACACCGUCAAAUUGCGGGAAGUUCCUAAAGCCUCUACUACCGCGGCCGAUCGAAAGAUGCGGUGCAGCACCAGGGUAAUGACCUCGGGGAUGGUAAAAACGUAGAGGAUGCAACAAUGGAUGAUCCGCAGCCAAGUCCUAAUGCUAGUUGAUAGCGAUGGAUGCAGUUCAACGACUAGAUGUCGGUGGGUGAUGACCUUUGCUGGUUGUCGCCUAAGAUAUAGUCUCCUCCCAUGGCGAAAGCGAUGG
Molecule: intron RNA, 304 nt
Rfam family: Group I catalytic intron
About the family: Group I catalytic introns are large self-splicing ribozymes. They catalyse their own excision from mRNA, tRNA and rRNA precursors in a wide range of organisms. The core secondary structure consists of 9 paired regions (P1-P9).
Source: Rfam